GUGCUCACUUCGGCAGGACAUAUGCUAAAAUUGGAACUAUACAGAAGAUUAGCAUGGCCCCUGUGCAAGGAUGACAUGCAAAUUUGUGAAGUGCUCCAUAUUAAA
Molecule: small nuclear RNA, 105 nt
Organism: Dipodomys ordii (Ord's kangaroo rat)
Lineage: Eukaryota; Metazoa; Chordata; Mammalia; Rodentia; Heteromyidae
Source: Ensembl